This 144-nucleotide non-coding RNA is filed under the name Pasteurella felis. Its description in RNAcentral is "Haemophilus felis MoCo sequence". It matches the Rfam family "Molybdenum/Tungsten riboswitch aptamer (Moco RNA motif)". Lineage: Bacteria; Pseudomonadati; Pseudomonadota; Gammaproteobacteria; Pasteurellales; Pasteurellaceae. The record is from Rfam by way of RNAcentral.
UUUAACGCAUAACUCCGAGCUUACUUAACCUAAGUUUUCUGCGUGAAAAUAGGGUGGUAACGCCAAUAACGUUUCGUUAUUCAGGGAUACGCUGGAAACGGUUUGUCCUCUCUCAUUUUAGAAAGGUGUGAAAUGCAGACAAUU